AGCGAACGCUGGCGGCAGGCCUAACACAUGCAAGUCGAACGGACCCUUCGGGGUUAGUGGCGGACGGGUGAGUAACACGUGGGAACGUGCCUUUAGGUUCGGAAUAGCUCCUGGAAACGGGUGGUAAUGCUGAAUGUGCCGUUCGGGGGAAAGAUUUAUCGCCUUUAGAGCGGCCCGAGUCUGACUAGCUAGUUGGUGAGGAAAGGGCUAACCAAGGCGACGAUCAGUAGCUGGUCUGAGAGGAAGACCAGCCACAUUGGGACGGAGACACGGCCCAAACUCCUACGGGAGGCAGCAGUGGGGAAUCUUGCGCAAUGGGCGAAAGCCUGACGCAGCCAUGCCGCGUGGAUGAUGAAGGUCUUAGGAUUGUAAAAUCCUUUCACCGGUGAAGAUAAUGACUGUAGCCGGAGAAGAAGCCCCGGCUAACUUCGUGCCAGCCGCCGCCGUAA
Molecule: ribosomal RNA, 449 nt
Filed under: uncultured bacterium
Lineage: Bacteria
Description: partial 16S ribosomal RNA
Rfam family: Bacterial small subunit ribosomal RNA
Source: RNAcentral